RNAcentral lists this ribosomal RNA (465 nucleotides) under uncultured bacterium. RNAcentral describes it as "partial 16S ribosomal RNA". It matches the Rfam family "Bacterial small subunit ribosomal RNA", at positions 338 to 795 of the family's 1533-position model. The record is from RNAcentral.
CCUACGGGAGGCAGCAGUGGGGAAUAUUGCGCAAUGGGCGAAAGCCUGACGCAGCGAAGCCGCGUGAGGGAUGAAGGUCUUCGGAUCGUAAACCUCUGUCAGCAGGGAAGAACGGUCACUGUGCUAAUCAGCAGUGAAUUGACGGUACCUGCAAAGGACGCACCGGCUAACUCCGUGCCAGCAGCCGCGGUAAUCCGGAGGGUGCGAGCGUUAAUCGGAAUUACUGGGCGUAAAGCGCUCGUAGGCGGUAUGUCAAGUCAAGGGUGAAAUCCCCGCGCUCAACGUGGGAACUGCCUUUGAAACUGGCAAACUGGAGUGUGUGAGAGGAUAGUGGAAUUCCAGGUGUAGGGGUGAACUCCGUAGAUAUCUGGAGGAACAUCAGUGGUGAAGGCGACUAUCUGGCACAUAACUGACGCUGAGGAGCGAAAGCGUGGGUAGCAAACAGGAUUAGAUACCCUUGUAGUC